This is a non-coding RNA of Drosophila virilis, 410 nucleotides long. The record is from RefSeq and is a predicted model, not a curated record. NCBI's taxonomy places the organism in Eukaryota, Metazoa, Arthropoda, Insecta, Diptera, Drosophilidae.
CAUUGAACAUGCGUAUUGUUUGUUAUUAUACAUAUUAUAAAAUUUUAUUAUACUGGAUUCGGUAGACAAAAAACGUCUUAAGUUUGUGCACCAAUUAGGUUUUAAACCAAGAUGAGUGGAUCUAAGCGGAGCAUGAUCAACAACAACCAAAGGCUCCAUCGUGUUCAUCGUUAUCGAUAUAAGUUGUUCGCCAGCCCUUGUAUACCAGGGCUCCACUACACUUAAUCGUGUUAUCGCGUCCAACCGAAGAAAACAAUUUAUAUUCAAACCAAUCGCAACAGUGCAAAAUCUUCGAUUUCGUUUAAUUUGAUAAAUGAAAUGUUACUUUUUUAUUUGGUUUGUUAAUAACAUGUAUUGCUGUCUAUAAUAAAUCUGACGAAGAGUAUUUAUCAGUCUUUUAAAGCGUCAAA